GACGAACGCUGGCGGCGUGCUUAACACAUGCAAGUCGAACGAGACGAUUGAAAGCUUGCUUUCGAAAGUCGAGUGGCAAACGGGUGAGUAACGCGUAGACAACCUGCCUUUGAGAUGGGGACAACAGUUCGAAAGGACUGCUAAUACCGAAUGUUGUAUAUUUUCCACAUGGAAGAUAUAUUAAAGAUGGCCUCUAUUUAUAAGCUAUCGCUCAAAGAUGGGUCUGCGUCUGAUUAACUAGUUGGUGGGGUAACGGCCUACCAAGGCGACGAUCAGUAGCCGGUCUGAGAGGAUGAACGGCCACAUUGGGACUGAGACACGGCCCAGACUCCUACGGGAGGCAGCAGUGGGGAAUCUUCCACAAUGGACGAAAGUCUGAUGGAGCAACGCCGCGUGAGUGAAGAAGGGUUUCGGCUCGUAAAGCUCUGUUGUCGGGGACGAAUGUGCAGUAUUUGAAUAAAGUACUGUAAUGACGGUACCUGACGAGGAAGCCACGGCUAACUACGUGCCAGCCGCCGCAGUAA
Molecule: ribosomal RNA, 524 nt
Filed under: uncultured bacterium
Lineage: Bacteria
Description: partial 16S ribosomal RNA
Rfam family: Bacterial small subunit ribosomal RNA
Source: RNAcentral